CUCGGAUCAGUGCGGAUUUUUGGAACAUUGCGGCUUUUCGUCAUAGUUUAGAACGCCAGUUCAGGCAACCUAUGGAAGCUUUUCUUUUGAUGAAGGCACAUCUGGCGGAUUUUUUGGGUGUCUGUGGCGAGCUCGGUGUUAACGUGGUCUGCACACACUGUGAUGCAUUGUAUGCAUGUUGAAAUCGACACAGCAAAAAAUGAGGACGCAAGAAGAACAAAUACACACCACUGCGUCGUCUCGCAACUACCCUUAUAAGAAAGCACACCAUUCGAAGGAAACCAAAGGUAUCAAACUCCCCUGAUCUGGUGGACGACAAUCACAAAGAGUUGUACGACUGCUUAAAUUUGCGUCCACCAUGGUGGAUAAGGGGCUAAGGUGCUCACCUGCCGACCCGAAGUUCGGGAGUUUGAUCCUGGCCACGACAGUCACAUCUCUACAUCUCGUUAUAAUGCAACAACCCUGCCUGCUCUACAAAAUUUUUUUACAGUAGGCUGCUUAAAUAUGGGACUGUGCUGCGUUUGCCAAGACUGAAUUAUGCCAUGCAGCUUUUUUAUGAGAAAGAAAUGAAACAGCACCAUGAUUAAAAGAUAAGGUGAAAAUGGCAGACCCAUGUUGUUUCUGUUGCCUUAUCUCUAAUUUAUAGUGCUGCACGAUUCUUUCCUAAAAUAGAUGUAUUCUAUAGUACACCUUCAAUGUGUGCUACUAAGCACAUUGUGAAAAACUGCUCCACACAAUAAAUGAGGGAAUUAUUCAUUUAGGAGUUUAGUAUAGGAGCAGAAGCUUCACUUUGGUAUGCAUAGGUUCUAUAACAAAAAAACAAAACAGAAAAUGACUGUACCACUCUUGCAGGAAGUUAAAAGCAUGCCAACAAUUAUAAAGCAGAAGAAGAAAGGACAAAGGAUUCCGAAGACCUAGCACUCGUAUGUAAUAGUAUAUCACAAUCUUGUGCAUUUAAAAUAAAGCAAUAUUCAUACCCUGA
Molecule: long non-coding RNA, 982 nt
Filed under: Rhipicephalus microplus (southern cattle tick)
Lineage: Eukaryota; Metazoa; Arthropoda; Arachnida; Ixodida; Ixodidae
Description: uncharacterized LOC119175964, transcript variant X6
Source: RNAcentral